UACUGUGAUGUGGGCUUGGGAUUAAAGGAGAGGAGAGAAUGGGCAAUGGGGGCGUUGGGAGGUGUUUGUCGGUGUGAAAGGUGUGCGUGGGAGGAGCAGGAGACAGCCUUAGCAGAAGGGUGAAUGUCUUUAGAGGGUCGAAUAUUUUCUUCUCCUUUACUCCCCCGUUCAGCCCCCCCGGGUUCAUUCCGUUUCGUGAUUCCUCUCCGUCCUGUGUUUAAAUGGAUAUUGUACUUUGUCAAUUUUCUUUCUUAUCAUGAAUAUGUAUCCAGAGCUAACUAACCAAAGUAGACAAAGAUUAGAACUCGAGGAAAGAAAUUGAUAUUGACAGGUAAUUAACACAGCGCAUACUCCUCGUCAUAUUUUCGUAAUCAUUAUCAACAGCGCUAUAGAGUCUAAUAUACAGGUAUGUCCAUCUUUCCUUCAUCCAAUAAAAAAAGAAAAUAAAUAAAAAACAACUUUUCUCUUUAUCGAGCCAUCCAGGCUCCUAUUUCCUCGGCACUCAUAUGAAACCAGGAGAAAAAUAACAGUGCAAAAUGGUGAAAACAUAUGGAGUAAAGAAAUCGAGAUAAUGAUCAAAUAAGCAAUGAUGAGGCAUUGGGCGGUACGGAUGGAGAAGAAUAGGGACCAGGGAUAAUUCGGUAAGAUAUCAACAGAACUAACUGCCUUUGAGCGAAAUCGAAAAACUGCUAGCAGAGAUUGAAAGAACGAAAAAUGAGGGAAACAAUCUGCAAGAAAAACGCUUCUAAUCAUUUGAGGAAGUUCAUUGAGCAUGAGUAACAAGUUCCUCGUACAGAUUGUCAGGAAUCUUUCGUACGAUUAAGACAGUAAGGGCGAUGAUUUCUUUGGCAUCAAGUGCCGGAA
This 864-nucleotide small RNA is filed under the name Histoplasma ohiense. RNAcentral's name for it is "hypothetical lncRNA". Lineage: Eukaryota; Fungi; Ascomycota; Eurotiomycetes; Onygenales; Ajellomycetaceae. The record is from RNAcentral.